This 253-nucleotide ribosomal RNA is filed under the name uncultured bacterium. RNAcentral's name for it is "partial 16S ribosomal RNA". It matches the Rfam family "Bacterial small subunit ribosomal RNA", at positions 524 to 776 of the family's 1533-position model. The record is from RNAcentral.
UACGUAGGGAGCAAGCGUUGUCCGGAAUCAUUGGGCGUAAAGCGCACGUAGGUGGCGACGUAAGUCGGGUGUGAAAGCCCCGGGCUCAACCUGGGAAUUGCAUUCGAGACUGCAUUGCUGGAGUACGGAAGAGGAGGGCGGAAUUCCCGGUGUAGCGGUGAAAUGCGUAGAUAUCGGGAGGAACAUCAGUGGCGAAGGCGGCCCUCUGGUCCAGUACUGACACUCAAGUGCGAAAGCGUGGGGAGCAAACAGG